This 252-nucleotide ribosomal RNA is filed under the name Alcanivorax sp. RNAcentral describes it as "partial 23S ribosomal RNA". It matches the Rfam family "Bacterial large subunit ribosomal RNA", at positions 2696 to 2925 of the family's 2925-position model. Lineage: Bacteria; Pseudomonadati; Pseudomonadota; Gammaproteobacteria; Oceanospirillales; Alcanivoracaceae. The record is from RNAcentral.
GGUGAACGUACCUCUGGUGGACCUGUUGUCGCGCCAGCGGCAUAGCAGGGUAGCUAAGUCCGGACGGGAUAACCGCUGAAAGCAUCUAAGCGGGAAGCCUCCCUCGAGAUGAGAUCUCCCUGACCCCUUGAGGGUCCUGAAGGGCCGUGGAAGACCACCACGUUGAUAGGCGGGAUGUGGACGCGCUGCGAGGCGUGAAGCUAACCCGUACUAAUUGCCCGUGCGGCUUGACCAUAUAACGCCAAAGCAGUU